GUGCUCACUUCAGCAGCACGUACGCUAAAAUUGGAAGGACACAGACAAGAUUAGCAUGAUCCCUGCGCAAGUAUGACACGCAAAUUCAUGAAGCAUUCCAUAUUUUU
Molecule: small nuclear RNA, 107 nt
Organism: Sorex fumeus (smoky shrew)
Lineage: Eukaryota; Metazoa; Chordata; Mammalia; Eulipotyphla; Soricidae
Source: RefSeq, a predicted model, not a curated record